This 409-nucleotide long non-coding RNA is filed under the name Marmota monax (woodchuck). Lineage: Eukaryota; Metazoa; Chordata; Mammalia; Rodentia; Sciuridae. The record is from RNAcentral.
UUUGAGUUACCAAAAAAAAAAAAAAAAAUGAGAGAUGGAAUCCAUGAGUGGAACCAAAGGUCUUCAUAAAGACAGCUCAACCACACCAGCAGAGACCCCCCCACCCCCAGAAUGGUUUGGUGUUCUCAGAGGAUCACCUGUCAUGCCCUGGAGGUGACAGGGAAAUGAGAAUCAGUCCUGGGUGAGGCCUCCAGCCUUUAUGGCUAUCCCAAGUUCAAGUGUCAAGCCAUGGGGGAAAGCCCAAGACCUGUCCAUGCUUCAUUCUGUCUCCAGAGUCUACGAUUCACUUAUUAAAUAUGAAACAAGUAGUGGCGUUUCUUCCAAGAGGGUUCUCCUGUUUUGGUUACCUAGUGGCCUAUGAAGUGCAGAUCCAUGGGCACCACCCACAUCAACUUGGUUCAUCAGAUCU